GACGAACGCUGGCGGCGUGCUUAACACAUGCAAGUCGAACGAAGUGGCGAACGGGUGAGUAACGCGUAAUCAACCUGCCCUUCAGCGGGGGACAACAGUUGGAAACGACUGCUAAUACCGCAUACUGAAGGCGGGGAUUGCGUCGGAUUAGCUAGUUGGAGGGGUAACGGCCCACCAAGGCGAUGAGCAGUAGCCGGUCGUAGACGAUGAACGGCCACAUUGGGACUGAGACACGGCCCAGACUCCUACGGGAGGCAGCCGUGGGGAAUCUUCCGGAAUGGACGAAAGUCUGACGGAGCAACGCCGCGUGAGUGAUGACGGCCUUCGGGUUGUAAAGCUCUGUUAAUCGGGACGCGGUACCGGAAUAGAAAGCCACGGCUAACUACGUGCCAGCAGCCGCGGUAAUUC
Molecule: ribosomal RNA, 408 nt
Filed under: uncultured bacterium
Lineage: Bacteria
Description: partial 16S ribosomal RNA
Rfam family: Bacterial small subunit ribosomal RNA
Source: RNAcentral